RNAcentral lists this long non-coding RNA (568 nucleotides) under Phaseolus vulgaris (common bean). RNAcentral describes it as "long non-coding RNA (PVUL_LNC004666)". Lineage: Eukaryota; Viridiplantae; Streptophyta; Magnoliopsida; Fabales; Fabaceae. The record is from RNAcentral.
CUUGUUCUAGUUAUGCUCUAAGUUUACUUGAAUUUCUCCAUUCUCAGCUUCUGUAUAAAAUUCAAGAGAAGUUGCAUCAAGAUCUCAACGACUUCAUACUUCAUAUUAAUAACAAUAAGUUAUAUUUAAAAUGCCAUUAGUAGGAGUUCUUUGUGCAUGUAAAUCUAAACAAUCCCAAGCUUUUAUAAUCAAAUCAUGAUUAUAUUGUUGAAGUUAGGAUGCUUGUAAGCUUGUAGCAACAUGUUCAUAAUUUUAGCACUGUUUUUAAGGAAGGUUAGGAAGCAGUCUGAAGCACUUAUGGGAGCCGAAACUUUUAGAGGAAACAAGGAAUCUAUAAAAUUCCAAAUGGUAAAAAAUUCCAAAAAUAGAGAAUUCAGAUAUAAUACAUUGCUGCUAUUCACAUCGGCAUGGUCCUAGACACUCCCACCAGUGUAAUACCCAUACGACAUUGCCCAUGCCGGUGGAAGAACUGUGGUUAAAUAUUUAUGGGAAAUGAAAGAAAGGGAAAGGAGACUAUUCUUCAUUCCUCGUGAUCAGUACUACACACCAUCAGAUACCUUCAGCUUUG